This is a long non-coding RNA of Perca fluviatilis (European perch), 2150 nucleotides long. RefSeq lists it as uncharacterized. Lineage: Eukaryota; Metazoa; Chordata; Actinopteri; Perciformes; Percidae. The transcript has 5 exons. The record is from RefSeq and is a predicted model, not a curated record.
UAUGCUAAAUGUAACUGUUUUGUUAUAAAUAAGCUGUUAAAAGUAAGAAGUUAAUUUGCCUCAAGUCUUAUGAGUUCUCUAAUAGUCACUUUAAGACUCUCAGCUGGUAACCGCUAUGUCGCAUGAGCGGCAGUUAGGAAGUAAACGAACGCUACAAACUAACGGUUCAGUGAUUCAUGGUUGUAGUGUAGCAAGCCAACUACAGCUACAUUUGCCUACAUUUAUGCCUAGAGUAGCAUUGUUGGUAUGUAUUCAUUCACUGUUUUUUAAACAAUUACAUAGGUUCAUAGAUCAUUAGUUUGAUGUCAGUGUUAUUUUGUGUUAAGUCUAUAUUACAAAUGUCCGUGAUCGCUGGCUUUGGUGCUGUGACUAGUGUUGCAUGGUUGCUAGGCAACUACACUCUUAAAAAUACUGGGUUAUUUUAUUAACCCAACCACUGGGUUGAGGCUGUUUAACCCUGUAUUAUGUAUAUUCAACCCAUAUUGGGUUACUUUCAGUAACCCAGUAGUUGGGUUAAUGGUUUUGGACUGUGCCUUGAUCUGAAUAACCCAACCAAUGGUCAUUUUAACCCAGUGGUUGGGUUACAUUCAAGUUUGGGAUCCUCCUCCAACGGUCUUUUUCUUUUCUCCGACGAGGCGGGAGACCACUCAUGGAAAAGCUGAAGCGAUUGAAUAUGGAGGACUUUGUUAAACUAAAGUUAACAGAACGGCAACUUCUGGAGCUGAUUGACACUUUUGCAGAUUGCGCAGGACUUCGAGGUUCUUCAUAAAGAGGCAUCAGACUAAAUGUUUGACCUGGAGGAGGUUCAGCGAGAAGCUUCUUCAUGCGGCCCAGCGGGGGGGGGGGGAGCUCCAGGUGCAGACCGAGUCUUUGUCUCAAGGCUCCAAAGACUACGUUGCCCUGAUGGUUCUGCCAAGCCUGAUGCCACCUGCAGUCUUCAGAAUGGGCCGAAAGACCGUGAGGACUACAGUGUCUGACGCCAUGAAGGCCUUCAUCGAUCUUAAGCCUGUCGGAUGGUGGAGUACCUUCAGGCAGCAGACCAGACCAUACCCCUGCACCCUGGUGUUGGGAGGCGAGGACUGCUGCUCACAGCCAUUCACCGUUCCCAGUGGGCCGGCCCUGGAGCACGACAGCGUUGUAAAGCUGUACAUGUUUGUUUCAAAUGUUUACAUGUGUUUGAUAUCAAUUUCCCAAAGCAGUGUUUCUCUGCUUGGGGGGGGUAGUAAUGUGGCCCCAUGCGUUUGUUUUUUGGAAAUGCUCAUGCAUAAGGGAAUUCUCUCUUUCUCUCUCUCUCUCUCUCUCUCUCUCUCUCUCUCUCUGUCUCUCUAUUUCUAAUAUUUAGGAGGAAUGUAAGGAGGGAAUGAAUUAUUGUUAAUAAUUGUUGCUUGGUAUUAGUCCAGUUAUUUGAUACACAUUUUGAAAUGAGGUAGGGGUAAUGUAGGCCCUAUGCGUUUCUUCUUUGGAAACACUCAUGUGAUAAGGGAAUUGGGCUUGUUAUUGUUAUUCCAGUUUUUCUCUUUUAAAUGAUUAAAUUAAUAUUGUUCAAUAAAAUAAGUGACAUUAAUGAAGUGUAUGUAUUGUUUAUUAUUAUUAAAAAUAUAGGGAUUUUAUAGAUUAAAGAAUAACUAAAUGAAUGGGUCAAAUAUCAACCCAACAAGGGGGUCAAUUUAACCCAAUAUUUGGGCUGGUGGGCCUGACCCAGUAAUGAGUUGCAUUAACCCAACAUUGGUGUCAGAAUGACCCAGGCUUUGGUUAGGCGAAGCAACCCCUUAUACUGGGUUAAAAUUUCAACCCAGUUCAAAAAGUCAAAACAACCCAGCAUGUGUUCUGUCCUAUAUUGAACCAGGUACUGGGUUGGGAAUAACCCAAUUUGGGUUAUUUUCAGCCCAGUAUUUUUUAGUGUGUAUAAGUCACAGGACAGGCUACACUCGUAUGAAUGAACGUAAUAUUGUUUACAUGUAAAAAUAUCUUUGUACAGCAUAAUCACUAUCAGUUUAAUAGUUAUGAAUUAUAUUGUGUAACGGUAGAAAGGAAAUAUUUGAAUUGAUUAAAUUACAUUCUGAACAGAGGCUAUAUAGUAUGUUAAAAGCUAGCAUAGAAUUGAUUAGUCUGUUUUUGUAUGUUACAGUUUCACACUUUCCUUGAAACGU